GUGUCCCCAGGCUGGGGGCAAGUGCUUCCCUGCUGAGGCCCCUCAGUGACCCCACUGUCAACAUGCGUCUCUCUUCUCUCCUCACCCUUCAGCUUCAGGACCUUAAGUCUCAACAUUUCCCUGGAAAACUUCCGAAUGACCCCUGCUUUAGGCUUCUGCCUUCCUUCCUAUCUGUGACAGAUUCCCCUUUCUCUCUUCUCUUUCCUAGUGAUUGACAGGCUGUGUGCCCAGCUCAGGUCUUAGCCCAUGCUACCUGGGAGGCACUCACUGAAUAUUUCUUUAAUGGAUCACAUGAGACCACAACUUCUAGCUCUCAUAGACCUCUUUUUUUUUAUUUUAAAGAUUUAUUCAUUGUAUGUGAGUAUACUGUAGCUGUCUUCAGACAGGCCAGAAGAAGGUGUCAGAUCUCAUUACGGGCGGUUGUGAGCCACCAUAUGGUUGCUGGGAUUUGAACUCAGGACCUUCAGAAGAGCAGUCAGAGCUCUUACCUGCUGAGUCAUCUCUCCAGCCCUCCCAUAGACCUCUUAACCAAGGGAACAAAUAACUAGAGGAUUAAUUUCAGGUAAUGAAAGCUAAGGAAAUCAGGCUGGAUGAGUCUUUCCAGAGAACAGUAGUAUCUCAGGAGGCUAGCGAUCAGUUAUUCUAGCAACAGUGACAUAGGCUGGAUGCAAUGCUGCUAGGCUUGUUAACCACUGUCAUAAUUAGCCAUUUAUUGGUUAAGGGAGAGGUGAGUUAGACAAUCCCUGCUUCUGUACGUGCAAUUAAUUAUUCAUAAAUGAAUCUGCCUGCUUUCCACUCAGACAGUAUCUAAGAGCCAUAGUUGGAAUUUAACAGACAUUCAUUAUUCCCAACAUUUUC
Molecule: long non-coding RNA, 858 nt
Filed under: Mus musculus (house mouse)
Lineage: Eukaryota; Metazoa; Chordata; Mammalia; Rodentia; Muridae
Description: long non-coding RNA chr2:174413341-174414199
Source: RNAcentral